ACGGGAGGCAGCAGUGGGGAAUAUUGCACAAUGGGGGAAACCCUGAUGCAGCGACGCCGCGUGAGCGAAGAAGUAUUUCGGUAUGUAAAGCUCUAUCAGCAGGGAAGAAAAUGACGGUACCUGACUAAGAAGCUCCGGCUAAAUACGUGCCAGCAGCCGCGGUAAUACGUAUGGAGCAAGCGUUAUCCGGAUUUACUGGGUGUAAAGGGAGCGUAGACGGAACAGCAAGUCUGAUGUGAAAGACGGGGGCUCAACUCCUGGACUGCAUUGGAAACUGCUGAUCUUGAGUGUCGGAGAGGUAAGCGGAAUUCCUAGUGUAGCGGUGAAAUGCGUAGAUAUUAGGAGGAACACCAGUGGCGAAGGCGGCUUACUGGACGAUAACUGACGUUGAGGCUCGAAAGCGUGGGGAGCAAACAGGAUUAGAUACCCUGGUA
RNAcentral lists this ribosomal RNA (434 nucleotides) under uncultured Dorea sp. RNAcentral describes it as "partial 16S ribosomal RNA". It matches the Rfam family "Bacterial small subunit ribosomal RNA", at positions 341 to 792 of the family's 1533-position model. Lineage: Bacteria; Bacillati; Bacillota; Clostridia; Lachnospirales; Lachnospiraceae. The record is from RNAcentral.